UACAGCCUUCUGACUUGCAAAUGUUGGUAUGUGUGUGAUUGCUAUAGCAAUUACCAACUCCCAAUAUUUGAAAAAUGCAUGACUAAGCAAAUGUCCCUCUUAACUCACAUUUCAGCAACAUGAAUCCACAGUGGACAGUCCAUGAAACACAGUGAGCAGAAAGUAGUAGUAGAAGACUUUCCAUAAAACCCCCAUGAACUAAACAUCAGUGUGGCUAUAAAUCUGACUUCCUUUUGUUUUCUUCCUUUUCAUUUUGAGACAGGAUCCCUCACACAGCCUAGGCUGGCAUUAAACUAGCUAUGUAGCCAAGGAUAAACUUGAAUUUAUGAUCCUCCUUCUUGUACCUCCAAAAUUUGGGGAUUAUGGAAUAAGCUACCACACCCAGUUUAUUUGGUGCAAGAGAACAAAUUCGGGGCUUGGUGGAUACGAGUCCCUUAAACUAUGGUGUGAAAUGGGAGCUGAGGGAAAAAGUUAUCAAAGAAACUCAAGCAAUACAGGAAAGAAUUACUGAAGACGCUUAAUUCACAGAACAAGAGGGUGGAAUGACAGGUCAGCUGAGUUACUGAAGUUAUGUAUGGGACCCAUUCCCCAUGUGAUCACUAGAAGACAAGCAUUACUCUUCAGAUAGACCACCAAGAUGGGUUGCUGUUGGGGUAAGUCUCACAGAGGAGACAGGAUGAGCUGAGAAGAGAGGUGCACCCAGUGGAGAAGGAGCCUGCAGAGAAAACUGGAAGAAAGAAACCACUGAGAAUGCAGGCCUGCAGCACCCUGGAAAGCAGCAUCACACAACCAAAGGUAAACCAGUUAAGAAACAUGGAUGGACAGCCUGUGAUUGCUCUCACUUCAUCUUUUAAAAGCCCUAAGCCCCAGUUGGACAGAAUCAUAUCUGACUUCAAUCUGACCUCUCUUCCAUAUUGCAAUUGCCUGAGUAAAAUUGUCACUGCCUGUU
Molecule: long non-coding RNA, 949 nt
Organism: Grammomys surdaster
Lineage: Eukaryota; Metazoa; Chordata; Mammalia; Rodentia; Muridae
Exons: 5
Source: RefSeq, a predicted model, not a curated record